AGUCUGGAGUCUGCAAGAAGCACAGUUGCUUUCCCGGGCUUUUGACUGGUUUGAUCUGGUGAGGACAAGGGCAAAAGCAGUCCUGGACACAGAGUCACAUAAAACAGAAGGCGAAAUAGCAUCUAUAAUUGAUCAUGGAAUUGUAGACAGAGAAAAGGCCAGUGAAGGUUUGGGUCUUAAAAAAUUACUCAAGCACUACAACACAUAUAUGAUGAGCUGAUGGCUGCCGUAAAUGACUACGAAGAAAAUACAAAGUCAAACUUUGUUUGUUUUAAGCACACCAAGAACUUUGGCAAGCAAGGUGCAGGGUCUGGUCAUUUCGGAGGCAGACAACAAUAGGGGUUGACGCGCGUUACCAGAAAGAUACCUGGUGGUGAUGUUUCCUGAGAACAUCGAGCCUUAGGGAAAACGCUAAAGAAUGGAUAUUGUAUGAAAGGUUUCAGUUGGCUUCUUACAUUUGCUUUCUUGAAGAUUGAAUGGAUCAAGUCACCUCGUUCACAGCAUCAUAUGCUUAUAUUCUGUAAUUUUUUUUUUUUUACCCUUGUUAUGCACUUGUCAUCUUAAUUUUUAUUUCGUUAUGCACAUGGAUUGAGCAUCUCUUUAACCCCUUAACGACAUGUGACAUAAAUUUGCGUCAACAUGCCAGUAAGAAGAUAUGGAGCUGUUGCAGAUUAUGUGUAAGUAACCAUAGCAAGAAAACGAAAUGAUGUUCGGCUCCAAAAAACAAGCAAACUUUUAUUUCAUUCGGUUUAAAAAUCCAGACAAAUACAAGGCAAACGUAUUAUUUAUUAUUAAAGCGCCAUUCAUUCCAUAGCGCUGUACAUGUGAUAAGCGGUGCACAUACAUAAUACAGACAAUUGCACUAAGCAUGAACAAGACG
Molecule: long non-coding RNA, 880 nt
Organism: Bufo gargarizans (Asiatic toad)
Lineage: Eukaryota; Metazoa; Chordata; Amphibia; Anura; Bufonidae
Exons: 5
Source: RefSeq, a predicted model, not a curated record